CAAUGAGAAUUGCCAUCAUUCAACUUGGAACUCAAAGUCCUGAGCACACUCAGUGAUUCUGAGAGAUGAUCUAUCCCAGCAUAUGACCUACAAGCCCUGAUUCCAUAAACUGGAGAGUCAUUAGAAGUACCAAAGAAAUGUUUCAACCUUGAAAUAGACUGACAAGAGGCUCUUCAGAAGGGACUCCUCCAAUACCGUGGGCCUUCUUUAGCAGAGCGACGUGAAAUAGGAGGUUGUCAACAACGGGCGCUAUUGCACUCCGUGAAACAAGUGUGUUCCUAAAUGUGUACAGAUUAUACCUUAUUUUAAAAGUCACAGUCUGUAAAUGUUCUCUGGUUAAAUUUGAUAUUUGGUAUUUGUUCCUAAUACUUCACCUGUAAGUUUCUGUCUACUAUUUCAAUGUUUCCAUUUGUUCAAACCCUGACCCCAAUUGAUUAGUGAUCAAUAAACCAAUAUUUAAA
Molecule: long non-coding RNA, 461 nt
Organism: Suricata suricatta (meerkat)
Lineage: Eukaryota; Metazoa; Chordata; Mammalia; Carnivora; Herpestidae
Exons: 3
Source: RefSeq, a predicted model, not a curated record